This 240-nucleotide non-coding RNA is filed under the name Priestia endophytica. RNAcentral's name for it is "Bacillus endophyticus T-box sequence". It matches the Rfam family "T-box leader". From Rfam's summary of the family: Uncharged tRNA acts as the effector for transcription antitermination of genes in the T-box leader family. T-boxes are found upstream of many aminoacyl-tRNA synthetase genes and some amino acid biosynthetic genes usually in Gram-positive bacteria. The anticodon of a specific tRNA base pairs to a specifier sequence within the T-box motif, and the NCCA acceptor tail of the tRNA base pairs to a conserved bulge in the T-box antiterminator hairpin. Lineage: Bacteria; Bacillati; Bacillota; Bacilli; Caryophanales; Bacillaceae. The record is from RNAcentral.
GCUAAUACAGUGCGCAGGAAGAGUAUAACGAAAGAUGCUUCAAGAGAGAGAGACUAUAUGCUGAGAAGUUUCUUAAGCAAUCGCGUUAGAAAGUCACCUGCAAGUUGCUUUUUUGAACGGCUCAGUCCUAUUAGAAAAAGUCGGCGAAAAGCCGUUAUCUUUUCAAGUGCAAAAGCGCCCAAAGUGUGGCGUUUUUUGAAAAAAGGUGGUACCGCGAACUUCACUCCUUUCGUCCUUUUC